GUUCUCGCUUUGGCAGCACAUAUACUAAAAUUAGAACGAUACAGAAAAGAUUAGCAUGGCCCCUACACAAGCAUGACACACAAAUUCAAGAAGCAUUCCAUAUUUUU
Molecule: small nuclear RNA, 107 nt
Organism: Dipodomys ordii (Ord's kangaroo rat)
Lineage: Eukaryota; Metazoa; Chordata; Mammalia; Rodentia; Heteromyidae
Source: Ensembl